RNAcentral lists this ribosomal RNA (2859 nucleotides) under Salmonella enterica subsp. enterica serovar Enteritidis. Its description in RNAcentral is "partial 23S ribosomal RNA". It matches the Rfam family "Bacterial large subunit ribosomal RNA". Lineage: Bacteria; Pseudomonadati; Pseudomonadota; Gammaproteobacteria; Enterobacterales; Enterobacteriaceae. The record is from RNAcentral.
GGGUUGUGAGGUUAAGCGACUAAGCGUACACGGUGGAUGCCCUGGCAGUCAGAGGCGAUGAAGGGCGUACUAAUCUGCGAUAAGCGCCGGUAAGGUGAUAUGAACCGUUAUAACCGGCGAUACCCGAAUGGGGAAACCCAGUGUGAUUCGUCACACUAUCAUUAACUGAAUCCAUAGGUUAAUGAGGCGAACCGGGGGAACUGAAACAUCUAAGUACCCCGAGGAAAAGAAAUCAACCGAGAUUCCCCCAGUAGCGGCGAGCGAACGGGGAGGAGCCCAGAGCCUGAAUCAGCAUGUGUGUUAGUGGAAGCGUCUGGAAAGGCGCGCGAUACAGGGUGACAGCCCCGUACACAAAAGCGCAUGUGCUGUGAGCUCGAUGAGUAGGGCGGGACACGUGGUAUCCUGUCUGAAUAUGGGGGGACCAUCCUCCAAGGCUAAAUACUCCUGACUGACCGAUAGUGAACCAGUACCGUGAGGGAAAGGCGAAAAGAACCCCGGCGAGGGGAGUGAAAAAGAACCUGAAACCGUGUACGUACAAGCAGUGGGAGCACCCUUUGGGUGUGACUGCGUACCUUUUGUAUAAUGGGUCAGCGACUUAUAUUCUGUAGCAAGGUUAACCGAAUAGGGGAGCCGGAGGGAAACCGAGUCUUAACCGGGCGUUAAGUUGCAGGGUAUAGACCCGAAACCCGGUGAUCUAGCCAUGGGCAGGUUGAAGGUUGGGUAACACUAACUGGAGGACCGAACCGACUAAUGUUGAAAAAUUAGCGGAUGACCUGUGGCUGGGGGUGAAAGGCCAAUCAAACCGGGAGAUAGCUGGUUCUCCCCGAAAGCUAUUUAGGUAGCGCCUCGUGAAUUCAUCUCCGGGGGUAGAGCACUGUUUCGGCUAGGGGGCCAUCCCGGCUUACCAACCCGAUGCAAACUGCGAAUACCGGAGAAUGUUAUCACGGGAGACACACGGCGGGUGCUAACGUCCGUCGUGAAGAGGGAAACAACCCAGACCGCCAGCUAAGGUCCCAAAGUCAUGGUUAAGUGGGAAACGAUGUGGGAAGGCCCAGACAGCCAGGAUGUUGGCUUAGAAGCAGCCAUCAUUUAAAGAAAGCGUAAUAGCUCACUGGUCGAGUCGGCCUGCGCGGAAGAUGUAACGGGGCUAAACCAUGCACCGAAGCUGCGGCAGCGACACUGUGUGUUGUUGGGUAGGGGAGCGUUCUGUAAGCCUGUGAAGGUGUGUCGUGAGGCAUGCUGGAGGUAUCAGAAGUGCGAAUGCUGACAUAAGUAACGAUAAAGCGGGUGAAAAGCCCGCUCGCCGGAAGACCAAGGGUUCCUGUCCAACGUUAAUCGGGGCAGGGUGAGUCGACCCCUAAGGCGAGGCCGAAAGGCGUAGUCGAUGGGAAACGGGUUAAUAUUCCCGUACUUGGUGUUACUGCGAAGGGGGGACGGAGAAGGCUAUGUUGGCCGGGCGACGGUUGUCCCGGUUUAAGCGUGUAGGUGUGUGUUCCAGGUAAAUCCGGUUCACUUUAACACUGAGGCGUGACGACGAGGCACUACGGUGCUGAAGCAACAAAUGCCCUGCUUCCAGGAAAAGCCUCUAAGCAUCAGGUAACAUCAAAUCGUACCCCAAACCGACACAGGUGGUCAGGUAGAGAAUACCAAGGCGCUUGAGAGAACUCGGGUGAAGGAACUAGGCAAAAUGGUGCCGUAACUUCGGGAGAAGGCACGCUGACACGUAGGUGAAGUGAUUUACUCAUGGAGCUGAAGUCAGUCGAAGAUACCAGCUGGCUGCAACUGUUUAUUAAAAACACAGCACUGUGCAAACACGAAAGUGGACGUAUACGGUGUGACGCCUGCCCGGUGCCGGAAGGUUAAUUGAUGGGGUCAGCGCAAGCGAAGCUCCUGAUCGAAGCCCCGGUAAACGGCGGCCGUAACUAUAACGGUCCUAAGGUAGCGAAAUUCCUUGUCGGGUAAGUUCCGACCUGCACGAAUGGCGUAAUGAUGGCCAGGCUGUCUCCACCCGAGACUCAGUGAAAUUGAACUCGCUGUGAAGAUGCAGUGUACCCGCGGCAAGACGGAAAGACCCCGUGAACCUUUACUAUAGCUUGACACUGAACAUUGAGCCUUGAUGUGUAGGAUAGGUGGGAGGCUUUGAAGUGUGGACGCCAGUCUGCAUGGAGCCGACCUUGAAAUACCACCCUUUAAUGUUUGAUGUUCUAACGUGGACCCGUUACCCGGGUUGCGGACAGUGUCUGGUGGGUAGUUUGACUGGGGCGGUCUCCUCCUAAAGAGUAACGGAGGAGCACGAAGGUUGGCUAAUCCUGGUCGGACAUCAGGAGGUUAGUGCAAUGGCAUAAGCCAGCUUGACUGCGAGCGUGACGGCGCGAGCAGGUGCGAAAGCAGGUCAUAGUGAUCCGGUGGUUCUGAAUGGAAGGGCCAUCGCUCAACGGAUAAAAGGUACUCCGGGGAUAACAGGCUGAUACCGCCCAAGAGUUCAUAUCGACGGCGGUGUUUGGCACCUCGAUGUCGGCUCAUCACAUCCUGGGGCUGAAGUAGGUCCCAAGGGUAUGGCUGUUCGCCAUUUAAAGUGGUACGCGAGCUGGGUUUAGAACGUCGUGAGACAGUUCGGUCCCUAUCUGCCGUGGGCGCUGGAGAACUGAGGGGGGCUGCUCCUAGUACGAGAGGACCGGAGUGGACGCAUCACUGGUGUUCGGGUUGUCAUGCCAAUGGCACUGCCCGGUAGCUAAAUGCGGAAGAGAUAAGUGCUGAAAGCAUCUAAGCACGAAACUUGCCCCGAGAUGAGUUCUCCCUGAGACUUAAAGUCUCCUGAAGGAACGUUGAAGACGACGACGUUGAUAGGCCGGGUGUGUA